Long non-coding RNA from Danaus plexippus (monarch butterfly), 452 nucleotides. RefSeq lists it as uncharacterized. The record is from RefSeq and is a predicted model, not a curated record. The transcript is spliced from 3 exons. Lineage: Eukaryota; Metazoa; Arthropoda; Insecta; Lepidoptera; Nymphalidae.
GCUAUUUAUAAGUCGCUUAUAAUUUUAUUGUUUGAGCUAAAUUCUAAGGCGACAAGCUCCGCCGGACGCAGCACUUUGAAUGGAGUAGGAAAUUUCUGAACUGGAGAUAACGCAAUCACUAUAUUUUCGAACAAUGCGCUAAAAGGUUUUCCAUGCAGCUUCCAAGUUUAAUUUUUCGCUAUCACUACCUCGCAGCCGGUUGCUGCAUUCAUCAAAGUCAAUCUGCAAGUACAUUUGGUGCGGGGAACGAGAAUUUGAAAGAAUUCAAUGUUACUCUGUCGAAAAUUUUUAUUUAGAUUCCAUAAAUACAACGGAGCCUGCACUUUAUUAGGAAAGCUGUAAAAAAUGUCUAGAUUAUACAGGACAUAAAAAGACCCUUUCACAAUAUAUGCGUGAAGACGGACAUAAAAUAGGAGAGCCUGAUUAUUCUUUUUUUAUAUAAAAUCAUAUUA